This 463-nucleotide ribosomal RNA is filed under the name uncultured bacterium. RNAcentral's name for it is "partial 16S ribosomal RNA". It matches the Rfam family "Bacterial small subunit ribosomal RNA", at positions 28 to 507 of the family's 1533-position model. The record is from RNAcentral.
GAUGAACGCUGACAGAAUGCUUAACACAUGCAAGUCGAUGGGGAAGUGGUGCUUGCACCAUGGUAACCAUGGCGGACGGGUGAGUAACGCGUAAGGAACUUGCCUGCGGGACUGGGAUAACAGCAGGAAACUGCUGAUAAUACCGGAUAAGGUCAUUAAGCUGCAUAGCUUAGUGAUGAAAGGAGACGCCUGCGGAGAGCCUUGCGUCCUAUUAGCUAGUUGGGGGGGUAACGGCCCACCAAGGCGAAGAUAGGUAGCCGGCCUGAGAGGGUGGACGGCCACAAGGGGACUGAGAUGCGGCCGUUACUACUACGGGAGGCAGCGGUGGAGAAUAUUGGACAAAGGGGGCGACCGUGAUCCAGCAAUUCUGUGUGCACGAAGACGGUUUUCGGAUUGUAAAGUGGUUUCAGCAGGGAAGAAGGAAGUGACGGUACCUGCAGAAGAAGCGACGGCUAAAUACGUG